This 502-nucleotide ribosomal RNA is filed under the name uncultured bacterium. Its description in RNAcentral is "partial 16S ribosomal RNA". It matches the Rfam family "Bacterial small subunit ribosomal RNA", at positions 29 to 507 of the family's 1533-position model. The record is from RNAcentral.
ACGAACGCUGGCGGCGUGCCUAACACAUGCCAGUCGAACGAGAAAGGGGCUUCGGCUCCGAGUAAAGUGGCGCACGGGUGAGUAACACGUGGGUAACCUGCCUCUAAGAUUGGGAUAACUCGUCGAAAGAUGAGCUAAUACCGAAUAAGACCACAGUUCCCGCGGGAACAGGGGUCAAAGGUAGCCUCUGCUUGCAAGCUAUCACUUAGAGAUGGGCCUGCGCACCAUUAGCUAGUUGGUAGGGUAACGGCCUACCAAGGCAAAGAUGGUUAGCUGGUCUGGGAGGAUGAUCAGCCACACUGGGACUGGGACACGGUCCAGACUCCUACGGGAGGCAGCAGUGGGGAAUAUUGCGCAAUGGGCGAAAGCUUGACGCAGCAACGCCGCGUGAGUGAUGAAGGCCUUCGGGUCGUAAAGCUCUGUCGGGAGGAACGAAUGCUCCUGAGGUUAACAGCCUCGGGAGGUGACGGUACCUUCAAAGGAAGCACCGGCUAACUCUGUG